GAUGAACGCUAGCUACAGGCUUAACACAUGCAAGUCGAGGGGUAACGAGAGGAAAGCUUGCUUUCCUUGUCGACGACCGGCGCACGGGUGAGUAACGAGUAUCCAACCUGCCCCCAACUAGGGAAUAACCUUGAGAAAGUAAGACUAAUACCCUAUAAUUUCCUCACAUGUCAUCUGACGAGGAAUAAAGAUUUAUCGGUUGCGGCUGGGGCUUCGUCUGGUUAGCUUGUUGGCGGAGUAACGGCCCACCAAGGCAACGAUCAGUAGGGGUUCUGAGAGGAAGGUCCCCCACAUUGGAACAGGGACACGGUCCAAACUCCUACGGGAGGCAGCAGUGAGGAAUAUUGGUCAAUGGGCGGAAGCCUGAACCAGCCAAGUAGCGUGCAGGAUGACGGCCCUAUGGGUUGUAAACUGCUUUUAUACAGGAAUAAAGUUAGCCACGUGUGGUUAUUUGUAGGUACUGUAUGAAUAAGGACCGGCUAAUUCCGUGCCAGCAGCCGCCGUAA
This 506-nucleotide ribosomal RNA is filed under the name uncultured bacterium. Its description in RNAcentral is "partial 16S ribosomal RNA". It matches the Rfam family "Bacterial small subunit ribosomal RNA", at positions 28 to 523 of the family's 1533-position model. The record is from RNAcentral.